Molecule: ribosomal RNA, 255 nt
Filed under: uncultured bacterium
Lineage: Bacteria
Description: partial 16S ribosomal RNA
Rfam family: Bacterial small subunit ribosomal RNA
Source: RNAcentral
UACGUAGGGUGCAAGCGUUGUCCGGAAUUAUUUGGGCGUAAAGAGCUCGUAGGCGGUCUGUUGCGUCUGCUGUGAAAACCCGGGGCUUAACCCCUGGCUUGCAGUGGAUACGGACAGACUAGAGGUAGGUAGGGGAGAAUGGAAUUCCCGGUGUAGCGGUGAAAUGCGCAGAUAUCGGGAGGAACACCGGUGGCGAAGGCGGCAUCCUGGACCAACACUGACGCUGAGUGAGCGAAAGCCAGGGGAGCAAACGGG